GCGUGGAGACAGGUGGUGCAUGGCUGUCAUCAGCUCGUGUCGUGAGAUGUUGGGUUAAGUCCCGCAACGAGCGCAACCCUCACCCCUAGUUGCCACCGGGUAAAGCCGAGCACUCGAGGGGAACUGCCAGCGUCAAGCUGGAGGAAGGCGGGGAUGACGUCAAGUCAUCAUGCCCCUUACGCCCUGGGCUACACACGUGCUACAAUGGCCGGUACAAAGGGACGCGAGACUGCAAAGUGGAGCUAAUCCCAAAAAACCGGUCUAAGUUCAGAUUGCAGUCUGCAACUCGACUGCAUGAAGGAGGAAUCGCUAGUAAUCGCGCAUCAGCACGGCGCGGUGAAUACGUUCCCGGGCCUUGUACACACCGCCCGUCACACCACGAAAGCUGUCUGUACUCGAAGUCGCUGAG
This 409-nucleotide ribosomal RNA is filed under the name uncultured Methylomirabilota bacterium. RNAcentral's name for it is "bacterial SSU rRNA". It matches the Rfam family "Bacterial small subunit ribosomal RNA", at positions 1026 to 1434 of the family's 1533-position model. Lineage: Bacteria; Methylomirabilota (SeqCode). The record is from RNAcentral.